Molecule: ribosomal RNA, 253 nt
Filed under: uncultured bacterium
Lineage: Bacteria
Description: partial 16S ribosomal RNA
Rfam family: Bacterial small subunit ribosomal RNA
Source: RNAcentral
UACGUAGGUGGCAAGCGUUGUCCGGAAUUAUUGGGCGUAAAGCGCGCGCAGGCGGUCCUUUAAGUCUGAUGUGAAAGCCCACGGCUCAACCGUGGAGGGUCAUUGGAAACUGGGGGACUUGAGUGCAGAAGAGGAGAGUGGAAUUCCACGUGUAGCGGUGAAAUGCGUAGAGAUGUGGAGGAACACCAGUGGCGAAGGCGACCCUCUGGUCUGUAACUGACGCUGAGGCGCGAAAGCGUGGGGAGCAAACAGG